RNAcentral lists this transfer RNA (83 nucleotides) under Planctomycetota bacterium. RNAcentral describes it as "tRNA-Phe". Lineage: Bacteria; Pseudomonadati; Planctomycetota. The record is from RNAcentral.
GCGGUGGUUGGGGCUGGACCCGCCGCCCAUGAACCGGGCGUAGAAUGGCACACCGUUGCCAUCGGUCGAAUCGAUCUGCCGCC